GUGAACGCUGGCGGCGUGCCUAAUACAUGCAAGUCGAGCGAACGGACGAGAAGCUUGCUUCUCUGAUGUUAGCGGCGGACGGGUGAGUAACACGUGGAUAACCUACCUAUAAGACUGGGAUAACUUCGGGAAACCGGAGCUAAUACCGGAUGAUAUUUUGAACCGCAUGGUUCAAAAGUGAAAGACGGUCUUGCUGUCACUUAUAGAUGGAUCCGCGCUGCAUUAGCUAGUUGGUAAGGUAACGGCUUACCAAGGCAACGAUGCAUAGCCGACCUGAGAGGGUGAUCGGCCACACUGGAACUGAGACACGGUCCAGACUCCUACGGGAGGCAGCAGUAGGGAAUCUUCCGCAAUGGGCGAAAGCCUGACGGAGCAACGCCGCGUGAGUGAUGAAGGUCUUCGGAUCGUAAAACUCUGUUAUUAGGGAAGAACAUAUGUGUAAGUAACUGUGCACAUCUUGACGGUACCUAAUCAGAAAGCCACGGCUAACUACGUG
This 496-nucleotide ribosomal RNA is filed under the name uncultured bacterium. RNAcentral's name for it is "partial 16S ribosomal RNA". It matches the Rfam family "Bacterial small subunit ribosomal RNA", at positions 29 to 507 of the family's 1533-position model. The record is from RNAcentral.